This is a long non-coding RNA of Amblyraja radiata (thorny skate), 121 nucleotides long. RefSeq lists it as uncharacterized. NCBI's taxonomy places the organism in Eukaryota, Metazoa, Chordata, Chondrichthyes, Rajiformes, Rajidae. The record is from RefSeq and is a predicted model, not a curated record. The transcript is spliced from 3 exons.
AUUUUGAAUUAUUCAAGAUAGACACAAAAUGCUGGAGUAACUUAGCAGGACAGGCAGUAUCUCUGGAGUGAAGGGAUGGGUUACAUUUCGGGUAGGUACUCUUCUUCAGUACUACACCCCA